This is a non-coding RNA of Taeniopygia guttata (zebra finch), 355 nucleotides long. Lineage: Eukaryota; Metazoa; Chordata; Aves; Passeriformes; Estrildidae. The record is from RefSeq and is a predicted model, not a curated record.
CUGGAGUCAUGCACCAAGGGCUCUGGCCUGGCUGCAAACAAUGUUUUAACAGUGUAUUUUAGCUCAUUGCCUGGGACUUCUUGUGUAGUUCAGUGGGAUUCAAGCAAAAUUAGACACCAGCUGCAGAAGGGACAUCUCCCAGCCCUACUCUGCAAUAAACCACACCAACAGGUGGGAAUCACCCCGACAUGGUGCAGCAGAAAUGUGGAGUAAUUCCCCUCCUGGAGGCCCUCUGGCACGGUGCAAGUUAUUUAAGACUGGAGAGCCUCUGCCAGCAUCACCCUGAUGUCCUUCUGAAAAUCUAAAGGCAAGGCAAGCCCCAAGGACCAAUUAAUAAAUUGGCAUCAGUGCUGUA